This is a long non-coding RNA of Molossus molossus (Pallas's mastiff bat), 362 nucleotides long. RefSeq lists it as uncharacterized. The record is from RefSeq and is a predicted model, not a curated record. The transcript has 3 exons. Lineage: Eukaryota; Metazoa; Chordata; Mammalia; Chiroptera; Molossidae.
UUAUAACAGGAUAUUUUUUCCAAAUCAUAACAGAUCUCUCCUCAAUUGGAAGAACUGCUUGGUAGAUGAUGGAGGAAGCAUUCCUGAAUCCUACUCAAUGACAGCCCAAGGUCCGGCUACCUGCCCAUCUGGAUAACUCCAGCCUCACCUGUGAAAGUUUGGAUCCUCAGCUGUGGUUGCUGCACCUUUCUCUUCUCCAUAAGCUGGGAAGGUAACAGGUGAGCACAUCAAUGGAUUAUGUCUCUGCCCAGGUCUCAGCCAGUCCUGGUGUGUUCUGCUCGUCCACAGAAAAUUGUUCCUCUCUGAAUAUAUCAACAGAAAGAAACCUAGACAUUUACUUGGGUCAGGAUCCUCAAUGAGUG